AUAUAGUUUGCUGUGUGUAAUGUUAUUGGAUCGAUACAGAGAAGAUUAGCAUGGUCACUUGCGCAAAGAUGACACGCAUAAUCGUGGAGCGGAUUCAAAUUUAU
Molecule: small nuclear RNA, 104 nt
Organism: Triplophysa dalaica
Lineage: Eukaryota; Metazoa; Chordata; Actinopteri; Cypriniformes; Nemacheilidae
Source: RefSeq, a predicted model, not a curated record